GACGGAGGAUGCAAGUGUUAUCCGGAAUCACUGGGCGUAAAGCGUCUGUAGGUGGUCAAAUAAGUCAACUGUUAAAUCUUGAGGCUCAACCUCAAAACCGCAGUCGAAACUAUUAGACUAGAGUAUAGUAGGGGUAAAGGGAAUUUCCAGUGGAGCGGUGAGAUGCGUAGAGAUUGGAAAGAACACCGAUGGCGAAGGCACUUUACUGGGCUAUGACUAACACUCAGAGACGAAAGCUAGGGUAGCAAAUGGG
This 253-nucleotide ribosomal RNA is filed under the name uncultured bacterium. RNAcentral describes it as "partial 16S ribosomal RNA". It matches the Rfam family "Bacterial small subunit ribosomal RNA", at positions 524 to 776 of the family's 1533-position model. The record is from RNAcentral.